RNAcentral lists this unclassified non-coding RNA (604 nucleotides) under Hevea brasiliensis (rubber tree). Lineage: Eukaryota; Viridiplantae; Streptophyta; Magnoliopsida; Malpighiales; Euphorbiaceae. The record is from RNAcentral.
UGUUGGAGAACAGAUGAUAGGAUAUCUGCAGCAGACUCAGCAUCAAGAAGCAUUGAGUUAUAUUUCCUCCUCCAGUUGCUCACAAGUAUUACUUUGGCUCCAUGUGCAUAUAUAUACUUGAUGGUAGAAAUUGCAUUGAAAACUGAUUGUGGGCGCUGGUCCAGUUCUUCCCUUAACAAAAUUGCACUAUCAAAUCUGACCAUGACAACUUUUUCUGCAAGUUCCUCCUUAGGAAUUUCUCUAAGAGUUUGUACGUAUGGGAGGGCCUCUGAUUCUCCCACAUUACAAUAGUCAGCCUUAUAUUCAGGUGACCUUCUGCUUUGAUCUGCAACCAGAAAACCACCUUGUGAAGAUGAUCGAACUUCAGGGUACUUAAAUUUAACAGUAUUUCCAACAUAUGAACAGAAUUUGGGUGGAAACAGUUUGUGUAUAAUCUUAAGAGAACCAUACAAGCUUAAUUCUUUUGUUAAUAGCGUCCCUUCAAGUUGGUUCAGAGGUUGAACCAUCAUCUCCUGUUGUCUCUCAACGCCAAGUAGCCAUUAUAAGAACCUCUCAGAGCUCAAGGGAAGAGGCAAAUGCACCCUCUGCCUCUGCUCCGCUUGCG